CCCAAAAGCAAAGAAGGUGAAAAUUGGCCUCUCCUCCUCUCGCUUUCUCUAGCCCUUGCUCUUUCACCAACCAAAGCCAAGAGAAAGGAAACGAAAACAAAGACCAAGAACGAAUCCCAAGACGACAGUUGUAGCCACCGUUACCUCCCAAAAGCUUAAAGGAAACCCAGAUCCCACAAUUACAGUGGCAUCAUUUCCCUCCCGUAUUUCUCCUCCUCUUCCUGUGCUUCCUGUCCUCAUCUUUCACAAUUCUUCUCUUUCCC
RNAcentral lists this unclassified non-coding RNA (263 nucleotides) under Hevea brasiliensis (rubber tree). Lineage: Eukaryota; Viridiplantae; Streptophyta; Magnoliopsida; Malpighiales; Euphorbiaceae. The record is from RNAcentral.